CUGAGAGGUUGAACGGCCACAUUGGGACUGAGACACGGCCCAGACUCCUACGGGAGGCAGCAGUGGGGGAUAUUGCGCAAUGGGGGCAACCCUGACGCAGCAACGCCGCGUGAAGGAUGAAGGUUUUCGGAUUGUAAACUUCUUUUAUUAAGGACGAAAAAUGACGGUACUUAAUGAAUAAGCUCCGGCUAACUACGUGCCAGCC
This 205-nucleotide ribosomal RNA is filed under the name uncultured Oscillospiraceae bacterium. RNAcentral describes it as "partial 16S ribosomal RNA". It matches the Rfam family "Bacterial small subunit ribosomal RNA", at positions 292 to 513 of the family's 1533-position model. Lineage: Bacteria; Bacillati; Bacillota; Clostridia; Eubacteriales; Oscillospiraceae. The record is from RNAcentral.